GAUGAACGCUAGCGGCAGGCCUAACACAUGCAAGUCGAGGGGCAUCGCGGUGCAGCAAUGCACUGGCGGCGACCGGCGUACGGGUGCGUAACGCGUAUGCAACCUGCCCCGCACCGGGGGAUAGCCCGCCGAAAGGCGGAUUAAUACCCCAUGGCCCCGGGGGCCCGCAUGGGCAUCCGGGUAAAGCCUUGGCGGUGCGGGAUGGGCAUGCGUGCCAUUAGCUGGCUGGUGGGGUAACGGCCCACCAGGGCAACGAUGGCUAGGGGGUCUGAGAGGAUGGUCCCCCACACUGGUACUGAGACACGGACCAGACUCCUACGGGAGGCAGCAGUGAGGAAUAUUGGUCAAUGGGCGGAGGCCUGAACCAGCCAUGCCGCGUGCGGGAUGAAGGCCCUACGGGUUGUAAACCGCUUUUCCCCGGGAAGAAUAACCCCGAUGAGUCGGGGAUGCCGGUACCGGGGGAAUAAGGAUCGGCUAACUCCGUGCCAGCAGCCGCGGUAAAGUCACGUCG
This 511-nucleotide ribosomal RNA is filed under the name uncultured bacterium. RNAcentral describes it as "bacterial SSU rRNA". It matches the Rfam family "Bacterial small subunit ribosomal RNA", at positions 28 to 530 of the family's 1533-position model. The record is from RNAcentral.